This 440-nucleotide ribosomal RNA is filed under the name uncultured bacterium. RNAcentral describes it as "partial 16S ribosomal RNA". It matches the Rfam family "Bacterial small subunit ribosomal RNA", at positions 338 to 795 of the family's 1533-position model. The record is from RNAcentral.
CCUACGGGAGGCAGCAGUAGGGAAUAUUGCUCAAUGGGGGAAACCCUGAAGCAGCAACGCCGCGUGGAGGAUGAAGGUUUUCGGAUUGUAAACUCCUUUUGUUAGAGAAGAUAAUGACGGUAUCUAACGAAUAAGCACCGGCUAACUCCGUGCCAGCAGCCGCGGUAAUACGGCGGGUGCAAGCGUUACUCGGAAUCACUGGGCGUAAAGAGCGCGUAGGCGGGAUAGCAAGUCAGAUGUGAAAUCCUAGGGCUUAACCAUAGAACUGCAUUUGAAACUGUUAUUCUAGAGUAUGGGAGAGGUAGGUGGAAUGCUUGGUGUAGGGGUAAAAUCCGUAGAGAUCAAGAGGAAUACUCAUUGCGAAGGCGACCUGCUAGAACAUAACUGACGCUGAGGCGCGAAAGCGUGGGGAGCAAACAGGAUUAGAUACCCGUGUAGUC